GGGCGAUUAGUGUUAAUGGGAGCACGUCAGUUUUGCACACUGAUAGAGGGGGUUCGAGUCCCCCAUUGUCCAC
This 73-nucleotide transfer RNA is filed under the name Streptomyces phage Daubenski. RNAcentral describes it as "tRNA-Ala". It matches the Rfam family "tRNA". From Rfam's summary of the family: Transfer RNA (tRNA) molecules are approximately 80 nucleotides in length. The record is from RNAcentral. RNAcentral also lists the same sequence under 1 other name. Lineage: Duplodnaviria; Heunggongvirae; Uroviricota; Caudoviricetes; Stanwilliamsviridae.